CCUACGGGUGGCAGCAGUGGGGAAUAUUGCGCAAUGGGCGCAAGCCUGACCCAGCGACGCCGCGUGAGGGAUGAAGGUCCUCGGAUUGUAAACCUCUGUCAGCAGGGAAGAACGGUCACUGUGUUAAUCAUCAGUGAAUUGCCGGUACCUGCAAAGGAAGCACCGGCUAACUCCGUGCCAGCCGCCGCGGUAAUACGGAGGGUGCGUGCGUUAAUCGGAUUUGCUGGGCGUAAAGCGCGCGUAGGCGGUAUGUCAAGUCAGGGGUGAACUCCCCGAGCUAAACCUUGGAACUGCCUUUGAAACGGGCAAACUGGAGUGUGGGAGAGGAUGGUGGAAUUCCAGGUGUAGGGGUGAAAUGCGUAGAUAUCUGGAGGAACAUCAGUGGCGAAGGCGACUAUCUGGCACAUAACUGACGCUGAGGAGCGAAAGCGUGGGGAGCAAACAGGAUUAGAUACCCUGGUAGUC
RNAcentral lists this ribosomal RNA (465 nucleotides) under uncultured bacterium. Its description in RNAcentral is "partial 16S ribosomal RNA". It matches the Rfam family "Bacterial small subunit ribosomal RNA", at positions 338 to 795 of the family's 1533-position model. The record is from RNAcentral.